Molecule: long non-coding RNA, 216 nt
Filed under: Capsicum annuum
Lineage: Eukaryota; Viridiplantae; Streptophyta; Magnoliopsida; Solanales; Solanaceae
Description: long non-coding RNA (CANN_LNC009319)
Source: RNAcentral
UCCUCUUCUUCUUCUUCCUCUUCCUCUUCUUCUUCUUCCUCUUCUUAUUCUUCUUCCUCUUUCUCCUCUUCCUGUUCCUCUUCCUCUUCUUCUUCUUCUUCCUCUUCCUCUUCUUCCUCUUCUUCUUUUUCUUCCUCUUCCUCCUCUUCCUCUUCUUCUUCUUCAAUGACUUCUUCUUCUUCAAUGGCAUAAUGAAUCAUAUGGAAUUCACACAAU